This 989-nucleotide unclassified non-coding RNA is filed under the name Hevea brasiliensis (rubber tree). The record is from RNAcentral. Lineage: Eukaryota; Viridiplantae; Streptophyta; Magnoliopsida; Malpighiales; Euphorbiaceae.
GAUAAAUUGCCCAGUCCUGCAAUUCAAUUUUCAAAAUAUUAGGUCAGACUAAAAGAGCAAUUAUAAAUAUAGGCAGAAUUGCUUGACAAGCAUGCAUUUCAUAACAGUUAAUUGCGAAUAAUAUUUUAGUCAAGUUUGGUUUAAAUCAACAUUGACUUAGUUUUAGUUCUUUUACUAUCAGGAAAAGGAUGAAAAGAAAUUAGCUCGAUGAAAAUAUCACUCCAUUGAGCUUCUGUAGUUUAUUAGCAAAUUUAUCAAAAGCUUAAAAGAAGAAUGCAACUCUUUGUUCUCCAUACAAGGCACAUGCCAUUUUGUGUCGUUGCAUACAAAAAUGAACUACUUGAAACAUUAAAUUCUGCAACUAUAUGAAGAAAAUAUGGAAAAUCAUAAGACAGAUAUAUGCAGCUUUUGUGAAGCAUAAGUAUCUCCAUGGAAUUCUUGAACAAUGUAACGAAAAAAUUGUAACUUUCCCAAAUGGAUCAAGAGACUUCAGUUUGAUUUCUAAAUAAUCCAUGGUAAUGUGAUCUUAGACAUGGUAGGAUGAAGCAUAAGGAUUAACAAGACAACCCCAAUGUGUUUGAAAUUAAGACUUAGUUGCUUGAGUUGGAAAUGUUGAGUUUUACGAUGGAAAGAAAGAUCAAUAUUUGCAGUCAUUGUCAAGUAAAUUAGGUCAUAUGUCUCGCAGUUCCUCCAGCAUAUGCCUUUGGAUUCUAUGUGUCAUUAAAUUCAUGGUUAUGAGUGUGCAUGAUUGUUGUGUGGGUCACACUUGACACCCUUAGGCGAUUUUUGUAUGCCUGUCUUGCAUCAUACAUUUCCCCUUCAUAUAAGAAUUUAUUUUCUGUUGUAAAUCUAAUCAAAGUUGUGAUGGUCUCCCACAUUGCUAUUAUAUGCUUAAAUAAAUCAAACUAAUAUAUCUGACUUUAAUGAUCCUUUGUCAUAAUUUCAAGAGGUAAGUAAGACACUUGCCAAGACAUAAGACAGGAGUCUUU